CCGCAGGCCGACUCUCUAUCCACUGAGCCAAACCGGCCGGGGCAUGGGCUUAACCAUUUUCAAGUGAACAGUUCAGUGGCACAAAGCACAUUCACACUGUUCAACAACCAUCUCACCAUCCAUCUCCAGAACUUUCUCAUCUUCCCAAACUGAAAAACCCAUCUCCAUUAAACAUUAACUCCUCACCCCCAUCCCCCACCGCUGGC
Long non-coding RNA from Pipistrellus kuhlii (Kuhl's pipistrelle), 206 nucleotides. RefSeq lists it as uncharacterized. The transcript has 3 exons. The record is from RefSeq and is a predicted model, not a curated record. NCBI's taxonomy places the organism in Eukaryota, Metazoa, Chordata, Mammalia, Chiroptera, Vespertilionidae.